GGUUAAGCGACUAAGCGUACACGGUGGAUGCCCUGGCAGUCAGAGGCGAUGAAGGACGUGCUAAUCUGCGAUAAGCGUCGGUAAGGUGAUAUGAACCGUUAUAACCGGCGAUUUCCGAAUGGGGAAACCCAGUGUGUUUCGACACACUAUCAUUAACUGAAUCCAUAGGUUAAUGAGGCGAACCGGGGGAACUGAAACAUCUAAGUACCCCGAGGAAAAGAAAUCAACCGAGAUUCCCCCAGUAGCGGCGAGCGAACGGGGAGCAGCCCAGAGCCUGAAUCAGUGUGUGUGUUAGUGGAAGCGUCUGGAAAGGCGCGCGAUACAGGGUGACAGCCCCGUACACAAAAAUGCACAUGCUGUGAGCUCGAUGAGUAGGGCGGGACACGUGGUAUCCUGUCUGAAUAUGGGGGGACCAUCCUCCAAGGCUAAAUACUCCUGACUGACCGAUAGUGAACCAGUACCGUGAGGGAAAGGCGAAAAGAACCCCGGCGAGGGGAGUGAAAAAGAACCUGAAACCGUGUACGUACAAGCAGUGGGAGCACGCUUAGGCGUGUGACUGCGUACCUUUUGUAUAAUGGGUCAGCGACUUAUAUUCUGUAGCAAGGUUAACCGAAUAGGGGAGCCGAAGGGAAACCGAGUCUUAACUGGGCGUUAAGUUGCAGGGUAUAGACCCGAAACCCGGUGAUCUAGCCAUGGGCAGGUUGAAGGUUGGGUAACACUAACUGGAGGACCGAACCGACUAAUGUUGAAAAAUUAGCGGAUGACUUGUGGCUGGGGGUGAAAGGCCAAUCAAACCGGGAGAUAGCUGGUUCUCCCCGAAAGCUAUUUAGGUAGCGCCUCGUGAAUUCAUCUCCGGGGGUAGAGCACUGUUUCGGCAAGGGGGUCAUCCCGACUUACCAACCCGAUGCAAACUGCGAAUACCGGAGAAUGUUAUCACGGGAGACACACGGCGGGUGCUAACGUCCGUCGUGAAGAGGGAAACAACCCAGACCGCCAGCUAAGGUCCCAAAGUCAUGGUUAAGUGGGAAACGAUGUGGGAAGGCCCAGACAGCCAGGAUGUUGGCUUAGAAGCAGCCAUCAUUUAAAGAAAGCGUAAUAGCUCACUGGUCGAGUCGGCCUGCGCGGAAGAUGUAACGGGGCUAAACCAUGCACCGAAGCUGCGGCAGCGACACUGUGUGUUGUUGGGUAGGGGAGCGUUCUGUAAGCCUGUGAAGGUGUACUGUGAGGUAUGCUGGAGGUAUCAGAAGUGCGAAUGCUGACAUAAGUAACGAUAAAGCGGGUGAAAAGCCCGCUCGCCGGAAGACCAAGGGUUCCUGUCCAACGUUAAUCGGGGCAGGGUGAGUCGACCCCUAAGGCGAGGCCGAAAGGCGUAGUCGAUGGGAAACAGGUUAAUAUUCCUGUACUUGGUGUUACUGCGAAGGGGGGACGGAGAAGGCUAUGUUGGCCGGGCGACGGUUGUCCCGGUUUAAGCGUGUAGGCUGGUUUUCCAGGCAAAUCCGGAAAAUCAAGGCUGAGGCGUGAUGACGAGGCACUACGGUGCUGAAGCAACAAAUGCCCUGCUUCCAGGAAAAGCCUCUAAGCAUCAGGUAACAUCAAAUCGUACCCCAAACCGACACAGGUGGUCAGGUAGAGAAUACCAAGGCGCUUGAGAGAACUCGGGUGAAGGAACUAGGCAAAAUGGUGCCGUAACUUCGGGAGAAGGCACGCUGAUAUGUAGGUGAAGUCCCUCGCGGAUGGAGCUGAAAUCAGUCGAAGAUACCAGCUGGCUGCAACUGUUUAUUAAAAACACAGCACUGUGCAAACACGAAAGUGGACGUAUACGGUGUGACGCCUGCCCGGUGCCGGAAGGUUAAUUGAUGGGGUUAGCGGUAACGCGAAGCUCUUGAUCGAAGCCCCGGUAAACGGCGGCCGUAACUAUAACGGUCCUAAGGUAGCGAAAUUCCUUGUCGGGUAAGUUCCGACCUGCACGAAUGGCGUAAUGAUGGCCAGGCUGUCUCCACCCGAGACUCAGUGAAAUUGAACUCGCUGUGAAGAUGCAGUGUACCCGCGGCAAGACGGAAAGACCCCGUGAACCUUUACUAUAGCUUGACACUGAACAUUGAGCCUUGAUGUGUAGGAUAGGUGGGAGGCUUGGAAGUGUGGACGCCAGUCUGCAUGGAGCCGACCUUGAAAUACCACCCUUUAAUGUUUGAUGUUCUAACGUGGACCCGUGAUCCGGGUUGCGGACAGUGUCUGGUGGGUAGUUUGACUGGGGCGGUCUCCUCCUAAAGAGUAACGGAGGAGCACGAAGGUUGGCUAAUCCUGGUCGGACAUCAGGAGGUUAGUGCAAUGGCAUAAGCCAGCUUGACUGCGAGCGUGACGGCGCGAGCAGGUGCGAAAGCAGGUCAUAGUGAUCCGGUGGUUCUGAAUGGAAGGGCCAUCGCUCAACGGAUAAAAGGUACUCCGGGGAUAACAGGCUGAUACCGCCCAAGAGUUCAUAUCGACGGCGGUGUUUGGCACCUCGAUGUCGGCUCAUCACAUCCUGGGGCUGAAGUAGGUCCCAAGGGUAUGGCUGUUCGCCAUUUAAAGUGGUACGCGAGCUGGGUUUAGAACGUCGUGAGACAGUUCGGUCCCUAUCUGCCGUGGGCGCUGGAGAACUGAGGGGGGCUGCUCCUAGUACGAGAGGACCGGAGUGGACGCAUCACUGGUGUUCGGGUUGUCAUGCCAAUGGCACUGCCCGGUAGCUAAAUGCGGAAGAGAUAAGUGCUGAAAGCAUCUAAGCACGAAACUUGCCCCGAGAUGAGUUCUCCCUGACUCCUUGAGAGUCCUGAAGGAACGUUGAAGACGACGACGUUGAUAGGCCGGGUGUGUAAGCGCAGCGAUGCGUUGAGCUAACCGGUACUAAUGAACCGUGAGGCUUAACCUU
RNAcentral lists this ribosomal RNA (2905 nucleotides) under Escherichia coli. RNAcentral's name for it is "23S ribosomal RNA". It matches the Rfam family "Bacterial large subunit ribosomal RNA". Lineage: Bacteria; Pseudomonadati; Pseudomonadota; Gammaproteobacteria; Enterobacterales; Enterobacteriaceae. The record is from RNAcentral.